Molecule: ribosomal RNA, 484 nt
Filed under: uncultured bacterium
Lineage: Bacteria
Description: partial 16S ribosomal RNA
Rfam family: Bacterial small subunit ribosomal RNA
Source: RNAcentral
AUUGAACGCUGGCGGCAUGCUUUACACAUGCAAGUCGAACGGCAGCGCGGGCUUCGGCCUGGCGGCGAGUGGCGAACGGGUGAGUAAUGCAUCGGAACGUGCCCAGUAGUGGGGGAUAGCCCGGCGAAAGCCGGAUUAAUACCGCAUACGACCUGAGGGAGAAAGCGGGGGACCGAAAGGCCUCGCGCUAUUGGAGCGGCCGAUGUCGGAUUAGCUAGUUGGUGGGGUAAAGGCUUACCAAGGCGACGAUCCGUAGCUGGUCUGAGAGGACGACCAGCCACACUGGGACUGAGACACGGCCCAGACUCCUACGGGAGGCAGCAGUGGGGAAUUUUGGACAAUGGGGGCAACCCUGAUCCAGCCAUGCCGCGUGCGGGAAGAAGGCCUUCGGGUUGUAAACCGCUUUUGUUCGGGAAGAAAUCCUCUGGGCUAAUACCCCGGGGGGAUGACGGUACCGGAAGAAUAAGCACCGGCUAACUACGUG